UACGUAGGAUGCAAGCGUUGUCCGGAAUUAUUGGGCGUAAAGAGAACGUAGGCGGUUCCAUAAGUUCGAUUUUAAAGACCGGGGCUCAACCUCGGGAGUGGAUUGAAGACUGUGGAGCUAGAGGAUGUCAGAGGAUGGUGGAAUUCCAAGUGUAGCGGUGAAAUGCGUAGAUAUUGGAGGAACACCUGUGGCGAAAGCGGCCAUCUGGGGCAUUCCUGACGCUGAGGUUCGAAAGCUCGGGGAGCAAACAGG
Molecule: ribosomal RNA, 252 nt
Filed under: uncultured bacterium
Lineage: Bacteria
Description: partial 16S ribosomal RNA
Rfam family: Bacterial small subunit ribosomal RNA
Source: RNAcentral